GAGUGCGCGUCUGUAUCAAUACGGAUGGCGCACUGCGUACGCGUGCGUAACACGUGGGCGAUAGUGCCUCAUGAUUGAGAAUAACUCCGGGGGACAGAAGUUAGUUCCGUAUAACAUUCUCAGGACCCCGGUUUCGGGUAUCAAUGCAGUGAUGUGUCGGAGUAGGAGCCCGCGCUCGACUUGUUAGAUGAUAGGAUAACUGCAUACCAAGGGCAUGAUCGGUAGGUGGUCUGAGAGGAUGGCCAGCCACACUGCAAUUGAGACACGGUCCAGAGUCGUAUCGCGCGUCACCAGUGGGGGAUCUUGCGCAAUGUGCGAAAACCUGAUACAAACAAUCCGCGUGGGGGAUUAUGCUUCCUCGGAGUGUAAACCCCACUUCGAGUGGGAACGAAUGCCUGCACAGGGAGUGACGGUACCAGUAGAAGAAGUCCCCGGCUAACUACGUG
This 446-nucleotide ribosomal RNA is filed under the name uncultured bacterium. RNAcentral's name for it is "bacterial SSU rRNA". It matches the Rfam family "Bacterial small subunit ribosomal RNA", at positions 64 to 507 of the family's 1533-position model. The record is from RNAcentral.